CAGUCGCCGCGGGAAUACGAAGGGGGCUAGCGUUGCUCGGAAUGACUGGGCGUAAAGGGCGCGUAGGCGGCGAUCAAAGUCAGGCGUGAAAUUCCUGGGCUCAACCUGGGGGCUGCGCUUGAUACUUGGUUGCUUGAGUGGGGAAGAGGGUCGUGGAAUUCCCAGUGUAGAGGUGAAAUUCGUAGAUAUUGGGAAGAACACCGGUGGCGAAGGCGGCGACCUGGUCCUUGACUGACGCUGAGGCGCGAAAGCGUGGGGAGCAAACAGGAUUAGAUACCCCGGUAGUCCCUGUCUCUUAUAA
This 301-nucleotide ribosomal RNA is filed under the name uncultured bacterium. Its description in RNAcentral is "partial 16S ribosomal RNA". It matches the Rfam family "Bacterial small subunit ribosomal RNA", at positions 509 to 809 of the family's 1533-position model. The record is from RNAcentral.